GACAUAAUCCUUUAUCCAUCUUCCUCUGCAUGUCAUCAUCGGCUGCUUAAUUUUACUAAAUUCGCUCGAUUUCUAAAUGGGCUGAUUGUCUGACUGUUCUCCUCUUUUUUGUCUUCGAAUGGCUGGUCUUUUCUCUAUCUGGGUCUUCUAUUGAGCCUUUCUAUCACUGCUACCUUCCGAAUGGACCACCCGAAUGCUGAAGAUGAUGCUCGCCUGGCAGCUUUAUGUAGUCGAAUGGGACGCCUUUGGUCCGAUCAGUCAAUUGAGAUCUGUGAUGAGGGCAUACCUCGUGAAAAAAUUGAGGAAUGUCAACUCACCCUGGUUGGUAAGCUUCUCCAUAAUCCAACAGUAAAUUUUCCGGCUUUUCAGACGACCAUGAAAAAAGCUUGGCGCACUGAACUUGUGGACUUCUCACAAGCUGAUUCUGGACUUUUUAUUAUCAAGUUUAAAUCAUCUGAUGUCAUGCAUCGAGUUAUUGAUAACGGACCUUGGUUGUUUGGUAAUCAUCUCCUUAUCUUGAAAUCCUGGAUAGCCAACACGCCACUAUCUUGUUAUGAUUUUAGUACUUGUGCGUUCUGGGUCCAAAUAGUUGGUUUGCCUUUGGAACGCUGCACAGAAAAUAUCAUUCAACGGGCAGCAGGUCAUAUAGGAAAAGUUACAGAAGUCAGUAUUCAUAAUAAAGAUGGAAUUCUGCUUAAAUCAAUGAGAGCAAGAGUAGAAGUGGACCUCCAACAACCGCUGAAAACAGGGAUUAUCCUUA
This 760-nucleotide long non-coding RNA is filed under the name Eucalyptus grandis. RNAcentral's name for it is "long non-coding RNA (EGRA_LNC006669)". The record is from RNAcentral. Lineage: Eukaryota; Viridiplantae; Streptophyta; Magnoliopsida; Myrtales; Myrtaceae.